RNAcentral lists this ribosomal RNA (1188 nucleotides) under Triticum aestivum (bread wheat). RNAcentral's name for it is "partial small subunit ribosomal RNA". Lineage: Eukaryota; Viridiplantae; Streptophyta; Magnoliopsida; Poales; Poaceae. The record is from RNAcentral.
AUGAGCAUCUCCGUGAACGGGCAGUCGGUGGUGCCGCCGGGGUUCCGGUUCCACCCGACGGAGGAGGAGCUGCUCACUUACUACCUCGCCAAGAAGGUGGCCUCGCAGCGCAUCGACCUCGACGUCAUCCCCGACGUCGAUCUCAACAAGCUCGAGCCAUGGGACAUCCAAGCGCGGUGCCGGAUCGGAACUGGCCCGCAGAACGACUGGUACCUGUUCAGCCACAAGGACAAGAAGUACCCCACUGGGACGCGCACCAACCGCGCCACCGCAGCCGGGUUCUGGAAGGCCACCGGCCGGGACAAGCCCAUCUACUCCGCCGCCGGCCGCAUCGGCAUGCGCAAGACGCUCGUCUUCUACAAGGGCCGUGCCCCACACGGCCACAAGUCCGACUGGAUCAUGCACGAGUACCGCCUUGACGACGCCGUCGCCCCUGCGACCAACACCGUCUUUGCUGCCGGCGACGCAAGUUCCUACUACUCCGGCAUCUCAUCCCCGGUUCGCGGCGUGGCCGGGGACCAGUCGCCGUUGGCACAGGAGGACGGGUGGGUCAUCUGUAGGGUGUUCAAGAAGAACAUCGUUGCGCAGCACCAAGCUGGCCAGAGCGGCGGCAGGGGCGGCGGCGCAGCGUCCAACAAGCUGGUUGGCGCCGGUGCCGUGGAGCGCAGCCAGAGCAACUGCUCGUCGACGGUGACCGCAGCCAGCGACCCCGCCAAGGCGCAGAUGAUGCACUGCGCCGGCAGCGACGACGGGCUCGACAACAUCCUCAGGUACAUGGACCGCUCAUCCGCGGCAUCGUGCAAGCAGGAGACCAAGCCCACCAACCCAUCAUCGUCACCGCUGGACCAGCUGAUCAACAGCGCGUGCCACAGCGGCAGCAGCACCCUGUACGAAAAGUUCAUGAAGCUCCCGCCGCUCGAGUACGGCGGCGACUGGGACGCUCUUGACCGGCUGGCGGCGUACGAGCUCAACGGUCUCUCUGACGCCGCGACGGCCAAGACGACCAACGGCAUGUCCUACAUCGUGGACGAGCUCGGCGGCGCCACCACGGCCUACACCAGCGGUGGCACGGCACACAGUUCCUCCCUCACCGGGGGCGGCGACGGCGACCUGUGGAGCCUGGCGCGGUCGGUGUCAUCGCUACACGCGGACUUGACGAUGACCUGUUUUAACGCCGUCGGGUGCUGA